RNAcentral lists this ribosomal RNA (253 nucleotides) under uncultured bacterium. RNAcentral describes it as "partial 16S ribosomal RNA". It matches the Rfam family "Bacterial small subunit ribosomal RNA", at positions 524 to 776 of the family's 1533-position model. The record is from RNAcentral.
UACGUAGGGAGCAAGCGUUGUUCGGAUUUACUGGGCGUAAAGGGCGCGUAGGCGGCUCGGUAAGUCACUUGUGAAAUCUCUGAGCUUAACUCAGAACGGCCAAGUGAUACUGCAGUGCUAGAGUGCAGAAAGGGCAAUCGGAAUUCUUGGUGUAGCGGUGAAAUGCGUAGAUAUCAAGAGGAACACCUGAGGCGAAGGCGGGUUGCUAGGCUGACACUGACGCUGAGGCGCGAAAGCCAGGGGAGCAAACGGG